UCCAGACUCCUACGGGAGGCAGCAGUGAGGAAUAUUGGUCAAUGGCCGGGAGGCUGAACCAGCCAAGUCGCGUGAGGGAAGACGGCCCUACGGGUUGUAAACCUCUUUUGUCAGGGAGCAAGGUGCAGGUCGGGACCUGCUGUGAGAGUACCUGAAGAAAAAGCAUCGGCUAACUCCGUGCCAGCAGCCGCGGUAAUACGGAGGAUGCGAGCGUUAUCCGGAGUGACUGGGUGUAAAGAGUUGCGUAGGUGGCAUAAUAAGUAGCUAGUGAAAUCUGGUGGCUCAACCAUUCAGACUAUUAGCUAAACUGUUAAGCUCGAGACCGUUAGGGGUAACUGGAAUUUCUAGUGUAGGAGUGAAAUCCGUAGAUAUUAGAAGGAACACCAAUAGCGUAGGCAGGUUGCUGGGACGGUUCUGACACUAAGGCACGAAAGCGUAGGGAGCAAACGGGAUUAGAUACCCUGGUA
This 467-nucleotide ribosomal RNA is filed under the name uncultured bacterium. RNAcentral's name for it is "bacterial SSU rRNA". It matches the Rfam family "Bacterial small subunit ribosomal RNA", at positions 330 to 792 of the family's 1533-position model. The record is from RNAcentral.